Molecule: long non-coding RNA, 524 nt
Organism: Alligator mississippiensis (American alligator)
Lineage: Eukaryota; Metazoa; Chordata; Crocodylia; Alligatoridae
Exons: 5
Source: RefSeq, a predicted model, not a curated record
GAGCGAGACUUGCGCGGGAUAGGCCUGGGCUCCUCGCAGGCCCCGCCUCCUCUGCGCUCAGGGCCGGCGAUGGCGGCGGGGCUGGCGAUUCCCAGAGCGCGGCACGUCUUUUGUCUUUCGCAAAGAAGAAUGGGGGAUUCAGAGCCAAAGAUGCUGUCAUCCAGUUUCCCGAGGGUCUGGUUCUGAGGAGAUCCUGUGAUGAGCCACUGUUGCUCUGCAUCCGCUAUGCAGUGGGUGCAGCUCUUCCUUCUAAGACAUUGUCUUGAACUAUAGAAGCUACCUCUUGCACACCCAUGGUGAUUGCUUUGAUUGCAAGCAGGGUUUGGAAGGCACGUGGUGUGUUUGCUGAUGGCCUGUGGAGUAUCUGCAUGAUGUCCUGAGCUGCCAUGCAUUGAACAGUGGAUUUGAAAGUAACGGAACUGGAACUCAUUUGGGCUUGGCAGCUGAUAGGUCCUGUUUCAGCAGAACUGGCUGGAGAGAAGUGCUGUUCAGACAAAAAAAUAAAUAAAUCGCUGACAAUUUUG